Molecule: ribosomal RNA, 681 nt
Filed under: Triticum aestivum (bread wheat)
Lineage: Eukaryota; Viridiplantae; Streptophyta; Magnoliopsida; Poales; Poaceae
Description: partial small subunit ribosomal RNA
Source: RNAcentral
AUGGCGUCCCUCUCCCCCUCCCUCCACCUCCCUUGCAAUUCAAGAACUGGCUUCCUUGGGAAGUCACAAGGCAUACUUCUUCGUGUUAUCCCUGCUGGCAGAGUUGGUUUCAUUAGAAAAACAGUGGAAUGCAAGGAAUCUAGAAUCGGAAAGAAGCCGAUUGAAGUUCCAUCAAAUGUUACUCUAACACUAGAGGAGCAGUUUGUCAAAGCUAAGGGUCCACUGGGAGAGUUGUCAUUAAACUAUCCCACCGAAGUAAAAGUUGUGAAAGAAGAAACUGGCAAAUUGAGAGUAUUCAAGACUGUGGAAACCAAAAGGGCGAAUCAGAUGCAUGGCCUUUUCAGAACCCUGACGGACAACAUCAUCGUGGGGGUGUCAAAAGGAUUUGACAAGAGGCUUCAGUUAGUGGGGGUUGGGUACCGUGCGACGGUGGAGGGCAAAGACCUGGUGAUGAACCUGGGAUUCUCGCACCCUGUACGGAUGGCUGUCCCAGAAGGACUUCAAGUCAAGGUGGAGGAGAACACGAGAAUCAUCGUGAGUGGGUACGACAAGAGCGAAAUCGGUCAGUUUGCUGCCACCAUAAAGAAGUGGAGGCCUCCGGAGCCAUACAAGGGGAAGGGUAUCCGGUACCAGGACGAGAUUGUCAGGAGGAAGGAGGGCAAAGCUGGGAAGAAGAAAUAG